This 390-nucleotide long non-coding RNA is filed under the name Felis catus (domestic cat). RNAcentral describes it as "lncRNA (ENSFCAG00000041814.2)". Lineage: Eukaryota; Metazoa; Chordata; Mammalia; Carnivora; Felidae. The record is from RNAcentral.
AUGGGGAAACACACACACACACACACAGUUUGGGAGUGUGUGUGGGGAGAGAAAUUUCCACAGUGUUUCGGGAUCAAGGGAUGCUCGUGGCAGACUCCGUUCUGUUCCAGGCAUGCAGUAGGAACUCAUCCUGGCUUACCUAGGUCAGUUCCUCUCUUAUGGACUGUGCAGUGUCCUCAGCCUCUUGAUCACUUGGAUACUUCUAGUAACACUGAAAGGAAGCUCUGCAAAUGGGAUUGUAUUGGGAAUGGGAAAUUGUCAGGUGACAAGGACCAGGAAAAAAUUCCCAUUUCCACUCAGAGCAAAAUGUCACCUUAUUCUGUUUCAGUAAAGAAUAAAGGAAUUUGGACAAAAUGUCAGUUUUCCUCUGAACUAAUUUGGGAAUUAUAA